This is a long non-coding RNA of Rhinolophus ferrumequinum (greater horseshoe bat), 675 nucleotides long. RefSeq lists it as uncharacterized. NCBI's taxonomy places the organism in Eukaryota, Metazoa, Chordata, Mammalia, Chiroptera, Rhinolophidae. The record is from RefSeq and is a predicted model, not a curated record. The transcript is spliced from 4 exons.
GGGAUGCUGAUGCUGUGCCCGCAGGACCACACUCUGAGAACUGCUGAUUUGCAUGAAGCCUGGAAGCAUGAAGUUACAGCGCGUGUUUGGGGAACUGAGCUGAGUUCCAGAGAGAAGCAGUGACUGUCCAAUGUCGCUCCUGCACCAGACCCCAGGGCUCUUGACCUUCAGCCCUGAGAUAAUCCUCAUGGUCUUUCAUGCUGUAUCUACAGUUGAAGAGAGAAGUUGACAUGGUAGCAUCUCAGAGCUCCACAAAAGGAGGAUUCAGAGCCGGCGGUGACCAGACAGGUGGAGCGUGUGAUACGGCUUCUGUCUGCGCGGAGGACAAUGGGCCGAUUCAUCACGAGGACCUGCGAGCUGGCCAGGGCGGAUGGACGUGAGGCCAGAGCUGCAGAGCUAGAAACAACCAGGAAGGAGGCCUCACCAAGAACCUGACCACACUGGCACCCUGGUCUUGGGCUUCCAGCCUCCAGAACCAUGAGAAAGAAACGUGUUGUUUAAGCUGCCUCAGUCGAUGGUAUUGUUACAGCUGCCCGAACGGACCAAGGCAGUGGCCAGAUGACAAUGAGUGAGCCUGUCACUUAGCGUGUCCCAAACAUAAGGCGUGCCUGUCUAGGUCCAGAUGGAGGUUGUAGAAGCACAGAGGUCUCUGCUGUGCUGACGUGUGUGAUGGAA